Molecule: ribosomal RNA, 530 nt
Filed under: uncultured bacterium
Lineage: Bacteria
Description: bacterial SSU rRNA
Rfam family: Bacterial small subunit ribosomal RNA
Source: RNAcentral
AGAGUUUGAUCAUGGCUCAGAAUCAACGCUGGCGGCGUGCCUCAGACAUGCAAGUCGAACGAUUAAAGCUCCCUUCGGGGAGUGCAUAGAGUGGCGCACGGGUGAGUAACACGUAAGUAAUCUACCUUCGAGUGGGGAAUAACGUCCGGAAACGGACGCUAAUACCGCAUAAUGCGGCGGCAUCGCAAGAUGACAGUUGUUAAAGAUUUAUCGCUUGAAGAGGGGCUUGCGGCAGAUUAGCUUGUUGGUAAGGUAAUGGCUUACCAAGGCUACGAUCUGUAUCCGGUCUAAGAGGACGGUCGGACACACUGACACUGAAUAACGGGUCAGACUCCUACGGGAGGCAGCAGUGGGGAAUCUUGCGCAAUGCGCGAAAGCGUGACGCAGCAACGCCGCGUGGGGGAAGACGGCCUUCGGGUUGUAAACCCCUUUCAGGAGGGACGAAGGCCGAGCGGUUAAUAGCCGACUCGGUUGACGGUACCUCCAUAAGAAGCCCCGGCUAACUACGUGCCAGCCGCCGCGGUAAUUCA